UCUGAUGGCUCAGACAGUAAAGAAUCUGCCUGCAAUGCAGGAGACCCAGGUUCAAUCCCUGGGUUAGAA
This 69-nucleotide transfer RNA is filed under the name Bos taurus (domestic cattle). It matches the Rfam family "tRNA". Rfam says of the family: Transfer RNA (tRNA) molecules are approximately 80 nucleotides in length. Their secondary structure includes four short double-helical elements and three loops (D, anti-codon, and T loops). The record is from Rfam by way of RNAcentral. Lineage: Eukaryota; Metazoa; Chordata; Mammalia; Artiodactyla; Bovidae. RNAcentral also lists the same sequence under 2 other names.